Molecule: ribosomal RNA, 403 nt
Filed under: Actinomycetes bacterium
Lineage: Bacteria; Bacillati; Actinomycetota; Actinomycetes
Description: Actinobacteria bacterium partial 16S ribosomal RNA
Rfam family: Bacterial small subunit ribosomal RNA
Source: RNAcentral
UGGGGAAUAUUGGACAAUGGGCGCAAGCCUGAUCCAGCCAUGCCGCGUGAGUGAUGAAGGCCUUAGGGUUGUAAAGCUCUCUUGUCCGGGAAGAUAAUGACUGUACCGGAAGAAUAAGCCCCGGCUAACUUCGUGCCAGCAGCCGCGGUAAUACGAAGGGGGCUAGCGUUGCUCGGAAUCACUGGGCGUAAAGGGCGCGUAGGCGGACUUUUAAGUCGGGGGUGAAAGCCCAGGGCUCAACCCUGGAAUUGCCUUCGAUACUGGGAGUCUUGAGUUCGGAAGAGGUUGGUGGAACUGCGAGUGUAGAGGUGAAAUUCGUAGAUAUUCGCAAGAACACCGGUGGCGAAGGCGGCCAACUGGUCCGAAACUGACGCUGAGGCGCGAAAGCGUGGGGAGCAACAGG